ACCUGUGUAAUGAUCAGGCUGUUUAAUCAACUUCUUGUUAUGCCACACCUGUCAGGUGGAUGGAUUAUCUUGGCAAAGUAGAAAUGCUCACUAACAGGGAUGUAAACAGAUUUCUGCACAAAGUUGGAGAGCGAAGGUUUUUGUGCGUAUGGAACAUUUCUGGGAUCUUUUAUUUCAGCUGAAACACGGGACCGACACUUUACAUGUUGUGUUUAUAUUUCUGUUCAGUAAAAUAUGUUACUUUAGAUAUUGUCUCAAAUUCCCCCGUCAUAAUGACCAACGGAUUCUAAAAUGUAUUUUCAUUUUAUUUAACUUCUGGCAUCCCACAGACUGUUCUUGUGCAACCCAAUACAAUCGGAAGUAACACUAGUGUAUGUAAAUACACCCGCGUUGCUAAAAGCAGGUAGUCACUUGCCUGCCCUGAAUGUGCUUUCAGGGGAUGACUGGUCUGGCAGCUCAACAGAGCCAAGGGAGAGAAGGUCAAAUACGAGGUGAUAGUCGUGUGUGUGUGUUCGUUGUCCGAGCCCUGUUCCGACAGGUGUGUUAACAGUUUCGCCCCUUUCAAUCUGUGUGUUUAGUGAACAAGUUGUCUAGUGUGUGUUAUAGCCUUGUUUUGAUGUGUGUGUGCUGUGUCUAGGUGGCGGAUUUGACCAGUGUGUAUGAAGAGGUGGACGAGGAACUCUCGGAUGGCGAGAGAGGCAGGACGGUGACUGGAUCGUUGAUGAUGUUUUCUUGAAGAUCACUCCGCGACACACACAAUGCAGUGGUUCAGCAGAAGAUGAUGCGCUGUCUGCCGCUGACUUCUCACUCGCCAUCUCUCACCGCCGUCAUCAAAUGGACUCAUGCUAGCAACAAGUUCUGACUGAGCUCUAUUGUCAUGAAACGCUAUACAACUGCAGAGUUUCUCUCUUUCUCUUACAAAGUUAUAACGAGGCCCACAAUGUGUUCUGUGCGGGGGAAGUGCUGACUAAUGAGUCUCUCAUAACGGACAAAUGAGUAAAAGGACACGCCCUGACCAAACAUCCACAACAUGACCCAGAGAGUUAUUUCAGAACAGGGCAGAAUGCUUCAGGAAACAAUGCUUCAGGAAACAGUGCUUCAGGAAACAGUGCUUCAGGAAACAGUGCUUCAGGAAUCAGUGCUUCAGGAAACAGUGCUUCGACAGUGGAAAAGUAAGUCAGCUAGCAAGACAUUGUUGUCAUUUUAUAACAGGUGAUGGAUGAUAAGCAGAAAUAAGGGAGUACUAACUAACUCUCAUAGUAGUAGAUGUGAGUUUCUCUUUCAAACAAUCCGCUGGCAUUGUACACAGCUAAUAGCUAACAAAGCAAGCUAGCUACUGAUAGUGCAACCAUCAGUAACAGCCCAGAUGAAAAAUGAUCAGGCCUACUGUUCAUCUUACUUUUGAAAACUAGUCUAGGUUGGAACUGUUGCUGUUAAAAUACAAUAAUAUUUUUUAUUCUUAACUGGAAUAAACUGAUUGAAGCAAGAUGCUUUUUGAGGCAAACACUCACACAGUUAUGAGUUGUUCAUCUACAACAGGAAGCGGUCUUCUGCCUGACUGAGAACCCACUCACACAGUUCUGGGUUGUUCAUCUACAACAGGAAGCAGUAUCCUGCCUGACUGAGAACCCACUCACACAGUUCUGGGUUGUUCAUCUACAACAGGAAGCAGUAUCCUGCCUGACUGAGAACCCACUCACACAGUUCUGGGUUGUUCAUCUACAGCAGGAAGCGGUCUCCUGCCUGACUGAGAACCCACUCACACAGUUCUGGGUUGUUCAUCUACAGCAGGAAGCGGUCUCCUGCCUGACUGAGAACCCACUCACACAGUUAUGGGUUGUUCAUCUACAGCAGGAAGCGGUCUCCUGCCUGACUGAGAAAGCAGUAGAUGUUCUGGUCCAGUUUGGUACCACAUACCUAUGUGAGUCAGGGUGUUCAACUCUAACGUACAGAAACAGUUUCAAGGCUGAGCAUCACCUCAUUGUUUUACUGUCUAAAACAGAGCCCAGAAUAUAGACGUGCUUGUUGGUCACAUCACACAGAUGUAGACCGAUCUGUUUAUUCCAGUUCAGAGUAAGACAUAUGUAUUGUAUUUUAACAGCAACAGUUCCCACCUUGACUUUCGUUCAACAGUAAGAUGUACAGUAGGCCUGAUCAUUUUUCAUCUGGACUGUUACUGAGGGUUGCACAUCAAAAAGCUGGCGGUCGGUCCCGGAGUUGAGAGACAACUUGAGUAUAAAUACAAUGGAGCAUUUACGCUUGAUAUGCGGACUGAUGAUUUUUGAAAAAUUGUCACGGUGGGCUUUUGGUUUCUCUCCCUCUAAGAAACAUAAAUGGCUCUAAAUAACAAACGGACUUGAUUUACCACAGUGUGAAGGAGUAUUAAACCCUCUUUAGAAAGUGAGUUUCUGAGUCCUUUGCUGAUGUGUAGAAGAAACUGAAUUGAAAGAGAGUCCAGCGAGGAUAGGGAGGGGGGAAAAAGGUGAGCUGAGCUACUUUGUUUAUUUAUGAAAUAUUCUAGUUUAUUUAGGCAAUUUUAAUAUAUAUGUUUAGGCUUGGCCUGUUUAGUAGGCUAUUUGUCAGCAUAACGCUGGGUUUUCUGUAAAAAAUACAUGUUUUGACCAAGUUAAUCUGUGUUAAAUUAUUUGUAACAUUGUGUUUGCAAUGAAGAAUGUAAACAAAAUAAAUGAUGUUCAUAAUGAAUAAUCGGA
This is a long non-coding RNA of Oncorhynchus nerka (sockeye salmon), 2711 nucleotides long. RefSeq lists it as uncharacterized. The transcript is spliced from 2 exons. Lineage: Eukaryota; Metazoa; Chordata; Actinopteri; Salmoniformes; Salmonidae. The record is from RefSeq and is a predicted model, not a curated record.